Molecule: ribosomal RNA, 494 nt
Filed under: uncultured bacterium
Lineage: Bacteria
Description: partial 16S ribosomal RNA
Rfam family: Bacterial small subunit ribosomal RNA
Source: RNAcentral
GACGAACGCUGGCGGCGUGCUUAACACAUGCAAGUCGAACGGUGAAGCGCCUUCCUUUUUGGUGGGUGUGGAUGAGUGGCGAACGGGUGAGUAACACGUGAGUAACCUGCCCCCUUCUUCUGGAUAACCGCAUGAAAGUGUGGCUAAUACGGGAUAUUCUGGGUCUGUCGCAUGAUGGGUCUGGGAAAGAUAUUGUUUCGGUGGGGGAUGGGCUCGCGGCCUAUCAGCUUGUUGGUGGGGUGAUGGCCUACCAAGGCGGUGACGGGUAGCCGGCCUGGGAGGGUGGACGGCCACACUGGGGCUGAGCCACGGCCCAGACUCCUACGGGAGGCAGCAGGGGGGAAUAUUGCACAAUGGGCGCAAGCCUGAUGCAGCGACGCCGCGUGAGGGAUGGAGGCCUUCGGGUUGUGAACCUCUUUCGCCAGUGAAGCAGGCCUGCCUCGUUUGUGGGUGGGUUGACGGUAGCUGGAUAAGAAGCGCCGGCUAACUACGUG